AGAGUUUGAUCCUGGCUCAGAACGAACGCUGGCGGCGUGCCUAACACAUGCAAGUCGAGCGCGAAUGGAGCAAUCCUAGUAGAGCGGCGCACGGGUGCGUAACACGUGGAUAAUCUGCCUGGGUGUCUGGGAUAACCAGUCGAAAGACUGGCUAAUACCGGAUGAGCCCCCGGGAGCUUCGGCUCCAGAGGGAAAAGGUGGCCUCUGUAAACAAGCUAUCACAUCCAGAUGAGUCCGCGGCCCAUCAGCUAGUUGGCGGGGUAAUGGCCCACCAAGGCGACGACGGGUAGCUGGUCUGAGAGGACGAUCAGCCACACUGGAACUGAGACACGGUCCAGACACCUACGGGUGGCAGCAGUUUCGAAUCAUUCACAAUGGGCGAAAGCCUGAUGGUGCGACGCCGCGUGAGGGAUGAAGGUCUUCGGAUUGUAAACCUCUGUCACUGGGGAGAAAACGCUUUGAGUUAAUAGUUCAAAGCCUGAUUUAACCCGGAGAGGAAGCAGUGGCUAACUCUGUGCCAGCAGCCGCGGUAAUACAGAGACUGCAAGCGUUAUUCGGAUUCACUGGGCGUAAAGGGUGCGCAGGCGGCCGUGUGUGUAAGGUGUGAAAUCCCGGGGCUCAACCCCGGAACUGCGCCUUAAACUACAUGGCUAGAGUAUUGGAGAGGGUAGUGGAAUUCACGGUGUAGCAGUGAAAUGCGUAGAUAUCGUGAGGAACACCAGAGGCGAAGGCGACUACCUGGACAAUUACUGACGCUAAGGCGUGAAAGCGUGGGGAGCAAACAGGAUUAGAUACCCUGGUAGUCCACGCCCUAAACGAUGAACACUAGUCGUCGGAGUACUAGUUACUUCGGUGAUGCACUUAACAGAUUAAGUGUUCCGCCUGGGGAGUACGGUCGCAAGAUUAAAACUCAAAGGAAUAGACGGGGACCCGCACAAGUGGUGGAGCAUGUGGUUUAAUUCGAAGAUACGCGAAAAACCUUACCUAGCCUUGACAUUGAUAGAACCCGCUAGAGAUAGUGGGGUGCCCUUCGGGGAACUUGAAAACAGGUGCUGCACGGCUGUCGUCAGCUCGUGUCGUGAGAUGUUGGGUUAAGUCCAGCAACGAGCGCAACCCUCGCCCUUAGUUGCCAUCAGGUAAUGCUGGGAACUCUAAGGGGACUGCCUAGUUUAACUAGGAGGAAGGUGGGGAUGACGUCAAAUCAUCAUGGCCCUUACGUCCAGGGCAAGACACGUGCUACAAUGGCCGGUACAAUGGGAUGCGAGAUUGCGAAAUUAAGCUAAUCCCACAAAACCGGUCUCAGUUCGGAUUGGAGUCUGCAAUUCGACUCCAUGAAGCUGGAAUCGCUAGUAAUCGUGGAUCAGCAUGCCACGGUGAAUACGUUCCCGGGCCUUGUACACACCGCCCGUCAAGCCAUGAAAGAUGGUAGUACCCGAAGUCGUCCACCUAACCGCAAGGAAGGUGCCGCCUAAGGUAAGACCAUUGAUUGGGGCUAAGUCGUAACAAGGUAUCC
RNAcentral lists this ribosomal RNA (1513 nucleotides) under uncultured bacterium. Its description in RNAcentral is "partial 16S ribosomal RNA". It matches the Rfam family "Bacterial small subunit ribosomal RNA". The record is from RNAcentral.